RNAcentral lists this ribosomal RNA (413 nucleotides) under uncultured bacterium. Its description in RNAcentral is "bacterial SSU rRNA". It matches the Rfam family "Bacterial small subunit ribosomal RNA", at positions 29 to 490 of the family's 1533-position model. The record is from RNAcentral.
AACGAACGCUGGCGGCAGGCCUAACACAUGCAAGUCGAGCGAACCCUUCGGGGUUAGCGGCGGACGGGUUAGUAACGCGUGGGAAUAUACCCUUUGGUACGGAAUAGCCUCGGGAAACUGAGAGUAAUACCGUAUGUGCCCUUGGGGAAAGAUUAUCGCCAAAGGAUUAGCCCGCGUUGGAUUAGAUAGUUGGUGGGGUAAUGGCCUACCAAGUCUACGAUCCAUAGCUGGUUUGAGAGGAUGAUCAGCAACACUGGGACUGAGACACGGCCCAGACUCCUACGGGAGGCAGCAGUGGGGAAUCUUAGACAAUGGGCGCAAGCCUGAUCUAGCCAUGCCGCGUGGACGAUGAAGGCCUUAGGGUUGUAAAGUCCCUUUCAGAUGGAAGAUAAUGACGGUACCAUCAGAAGAAG